Molecule: transfer RNA, 71 nt
Filed under: Sarcocheilichthys hainanensis (Hainan gudgeon)
Lineage: Eukaryota; Metazoa; Chordata; Actinopteri; Cypriniformes; Gobionidae
Description: tRNA-Tyr
Rfam family: tRNA
About the family: Transfer RNA (tRNA) molecules are approximately 80 nucleotides in length. Their secondary structure includes four short double-helical elements and three loops (D, anti-codon, and T loops). Further hydrogen bonds mediate the characteristic L-shaped molecular structure. tRNAs have two regions of fundamental functional importance: the anti-codon, which is responsible for specific mRNA codon recognition, and the 3' end, to which the tRNAs corresponding amino acid is attached (by aminoacyl-tRNA synthetases). tRNAs cope with the degeneracy of the genetic code in two manners: having more than one tRNA (with a specific anti-codon) for a particular amino acid; and 'wobble' base-pairing, i.e. permitting non-standard base-pairing at the 3rd anti-codon position.
Source: RNAcentral
GGUCGGGUAGCCGAGUGUUUAGGCGGCGGGUUGUAGCCCUGAAGACAGAGGUUUAAGUCCUCUCCCCACCA